RNAcentral lists this ribosomal RNA (253 nucleotides) under uncultured bacterium. RNAcentral's name for it is "partial 16S ribosomal RNA". It matches the Rfam family "Bacterial small subunit ribosomal RNA", at positions 524 to 776 of the family's 1533-position model. The record is from RNAcentral.
UACGUAGGUGACGAGCGUUAUCCGGAAUUACUGGGCGUAAAGCGCACGCAAGCGGUCUGACAAGUCUGGCGUGAAAUCCUCUGGCUUAACCAGGGGCGGUCGCUGGAGACUGUUGGGCUUGAGGCGAUGAGAGGGGUGCAGAAUUCCCGGUGUAGUGGUGGAAUGCGUAGAGAUCGGGAGGAAUACCAGUGGCGAAAGCGGCACCCUGGCGUCGGCCUGACGCACAUGUGCGAAAGCGUGGGGAGCGAACGGG